This 1131-nucleotide long non-coding RNA is filed under the name Vulpes vulpes (red fox). Its description in RNAcentral is "lncRNA (ENSVVUG00000028683.1)". The record is from RNAcentral. Lineage: Eukaryota; Metazoa; Chordata; Mammalia; Carnivora; Canidae.
CGCCGUCCCCACGGUGCGCGCGCCUGCCGGGGCCGCGCGGGGAGGCGCGGCGGAGGGGCCCCUGCACCUCGUAGGUCCUUUCGCCUCCCGAACAAACUCCGUCCCAGGAAAUUGCACAGAGACGUGCGGCCGAACCUGAUGCCGCCAGAUCUCCAUCCGGAAAAAACAGACCGCCCCUCUGCUGACAGUCCGGGGGAUGCAACUUUGUUGUCGAGGUGCAGGUGAUUAAUACACAACUGCUGGAGGCCCGGACAGUUAACUGCCCUAUAGAGCUGUGACUUCUUAACCUGCAGAAGUGGAUGACUGUCUACAAUGCCUGCACCAGGAGGAUAUUAUUCUACAAAUAAGGGCCCAGCGUGACAUUUAUGAGAAAGCCAGGGUCCUUCUGUGCAAAACUGAUUGGUGCUCAGCCAAUGGGCUCCAGGGCAUUGCAAAUAAAACCACCUUCUCCACCGGGCCCGUUCAGAUGCAGGAUAGUGUGUUGCUUCUGCCUGUGGAACUUUAGGAAAUGCUCAACUCCUGUCCUAGCAAAAUACAUCUGUGGCCAGCUAAGUGAAACCAGCUUUGAAGAUGAAACACCUUCUUCCUCAAUUCCCUUCCAUCUUGGCCAUCUAUUGCUUCUGCAUGCUACAGAUUCCCUCUUCAGGAUCUCCUCGACCUCUAGCUGAUCCCCCAGAUGGCUUGGAUAUCACGCAGCUUGAGGUACGCUGCUGUUCAGUAAUGUGAGAUUUUUAUUUAGUCUUGGCCUUGAAAAUAUCAUGUGGAUAGUGUUCACUUGAAACUAUUUUAAGAUCAGAUUCUUGGCUGCAGCAGGAACUCAUGUUGCCAUUUUCAUGGCCUCAUUUAAAGCAUCACGAGAGUUGUGUUGAAAUUCACUGCCACUGUGUGAGAAGAUAAUGGAAGGUUCAUAAAUGGGACAACUUUAGUAUUUUACAUAUGUUUUAAUAGAUUGCUAUUGACUGAUUUGUACCGAUCUUUGAUUCAUUGUUCAUAUUUUUCUUUAGCGACUGGCAUAUUGGGCCACUCUUUCUAAGCAACCUAAGGUAAAAAAAAAUAUAUACAUAUAAUAAUUCAUUUAUUUUUAUUUUUUUAAAGAUUUAUUUAUUUAUUUGAGAGAGAGAGAGGAGUAAG